UACGAAGGGGGCUAGCGUUGUUCGGAAUUAUUGGGCGUAAAGCGCACGUAGGCGGAUCUUUAAGUCAGAGGUGAAAUCCCAAGGCUCAACCUUGGAACUGCCUUUGAUACUGGGGAUCUCGAGUCCGGGAGAGGUGAGUGGAACUGCGAGUGUAGAGGUGAAAUUCGUAGAUAUUCGCAAGAACACCAGUGGCGAAGGCGGCUCACUGGCCCGGUACUGACGCUGAGGUGCGAAAGCGUGGGGAGCAAACAGG
RNAcentral lists this ribosomal RNA (253 nucleotides) under uncultured bacterium. RNAcentral's name for it is "partial 16S ribosomal RNA". It matches the Rfam family "Bacterial small subunit ribosomal RNA", at positions 524 to 776 of the family's 1533-position model. The record is from RNAcentral.